CCGCGUGAGCGAAGAAGGCCUUCGGGUCGUAAAGCUCUGUUGUUAGGGAAGAACAAGUACGAGAGUAACUGCUCGUACCUUGACGGUACCUAACCAGAAAGCCACGGCUAACUACGCGCCAGCAGCCGCGGUAAUACGUAGGUGGCAAGCGUUGUCCGGAAUUAUUGGGCGUAAAGCGCGCGCAGGCGGUCCUUUAAGUCUGAUGUGAAAGCCCACGGCUCAACCGUGGAGGGUCAUUGGAAACUGGGGGACUUGAGUGCAGAAGAGGAGAGUGGAAUUCCACGUGUAGCGGUGAAAUGCGUAGAGAUGUGGAGGAACACCAGUGGCGAAGGCGACUCUCUGGUCUGUAACUGACGCUGAGGCGCGAAAGCGUGGGGAGCAAACAGGAUUAGAUAUCCUGGUAGUCCACGCCGUAAACGAUGAGUGCUAAGUGUUAGAGGGUUUCCGCCCUUUAGUGCUGCAGCUAACGCAUUAAGCACUCCGCCUGGGGAGUACGGCCGCAAGGCUG
RNAcentral lists this ribosomal RNA (508 nucleotides) under uncultured Bacillota bacterium. RNAcentral's name for it is "bacterial SSU rRNA". It matches the Rfam family "Bacterial small subunit ribosomal RNA", at positions 397 to 896 of the family's 1533-position model. The record is from RNAcentral. Lineage: Bacteria; Bacillati; Bacillota.